UAUAGUAUUGGUAUGAACUUUCUAAGUAUGAUCUUAAUUGUGAUUUUUUGUUUUGUUUUUAGUAAUAAGCAAUGAAAAAAUAUUUCAAAAUAAAAUAAAAAGAAACAUGUAGUGUAUCCAUUGAUAUAUUUGCUUUUAAAGUUAUCUCUGAUAUUACUGGGACAACUACAAUAGCUAAAAGAGUUUUCUCUACUAUGAAUAUUAUCAAGAAUCGAAUGUGAAAUCCCAUGGGUGAUGAAUCGUUAAA
This 247-nucleotide long non-coding RNA is filed under the name Lathyrus oleraceus (garden pea). RNAcentral describes it as "Pisum sativum (pea) long non-coding RNA (PSAT_LNC003395)". Lineage: Eukaryota; Viridiplantae; Streptophyta; Magnoliopsida; Fabales; Fabaceae. The record is from RNAcentral.